RNAcentral lists this ribosomal RNA (600 nucleotides) under uncultured bacterium. RNAcentral describes it as "bacterial SSU rRNA". It matches the Rfam family "Bacterial small subunit ribosomal RNA", at positions 90 to 687 of the family's 1533-position model. The record is from RNAcentral.
UGAGAGCGGCGUACGGGUGCGGAACACGUGUGCAACCUGCCUUUAUCUUGGGGGAUAGCCUUUCGAAAGGAAGAUUAAUACCCCAUAAUAUGUUGAAUGGCAUCAUUCGACAUUGAAAACUCCGGUGGAUAGAGAUGGGCACGCGCAAGAUUAGAUAGUUGGUGAGGUAACGGCUCACCAAGUCUACGAUCUUUAGGGGGGCCUGAGAGGGUGAUCCCCCACACUGGUACUGAGACACGGACCAGACUCCUACGGGAGGCAGCAGUGAGGAAUAUUGGACAAUGGGUGAGAGCCUGAUCCAGCCAUCCCGCGUGAAGGACGACUGCCCUAUGGGUUGUAAACUUCUUUUGUAUAGGGAUAAACCUACCCUCGUGAGGGUAGCUGAAGGUACUAUACGAAUAAGCACCGGCUAACUCCGUGCCAGCAGCCGCGGUAAUACGGAGGGUGCAAGCGUUAUCCGGAUUUAUUGGGUUUAAAGGGUCCGUAGGCGGAUCUGUAAGUCAGUGGUGAAAUCUCACAGCUUAACUGUGAAACUGCCAUUGAUACUGCAGGUCUUGAGUGUUGUUGAAGUAGCUGGAAUAAGUAGUGUAGCGGUGAAAU